AAGAUAAAAAAUCAUCUUAUUCUGCCAUGUCUUAAAAUCAGUACCAGCAAACUUAUCCGGUCGAAUUGCAUGAUUCACCGGAAAUGGAGCCGAAAACGAUGGCAAAGGUACCGAGGCCGCAACCCUAGGUACUGGCAAAGGUAUUGUGCCAAACUGGAUUGUCGAGGCCGCAGCCGUAGGCAAAGUGGGGUUCAUUCCAACAAGAGGAAUCCCGCCACCAAUUGUCCCAUCAACAGGAGGAAUGCCAGUCGAGGUCUCCACAGGGUUCACAGCGGUCCCAACAGUGUUACUUCCAUUGUUCACGUCAUCAUUUCCAUAUGACGCCAUUUAACCUUAGAACACGCAACAAACAAUUUAGAAUAAUUAUAGAUUUGAGAUCAAGUUAUCUGUUCGAGAAAAAUAAACUGUAGAACCAAAACCACGCAGGCAUGAACUAAGAAACUUCCUGUAA
RNAcentral lists this long non-coding RNA (451 nucleotides) under Olea europaea (common olive). RNAcentral describes it as "long non-coding RNA (OEUR_LNC004820)". Lineage: Eukaryota; Viridiplantae; Streptophyta; Magnoliopsida; Lamiales; Oleaceae. The record is from RNAcentral.